Molecule: ribosomal RNA, 730 nt
Filed under: uncultured Streptomyces sp.
Lineage: Bacteria; Bacillati; Actinomycetota; Actinomycetes; Kitasatosporales; Streptomycetaceae
Description: bacterial SSU rRNA
Rfam family: Bacterial small subunit ribosomal RNA
Source: RNAcentral
GCGGACAGAUGGGAGCUUGCUCCCUGAUGUUAGCGGCGGACGGGUGAGUAACACGUGGGUAACCUGCCUGUAAGACUGGGAUAACUCCGGGAAACCGGGGCUAAUACCGGAUGCUUGUUUGAACCGCAUGGUUCAAACAUAAAAGGUGGCUUCGGCUACCACUUACAGAUGGACCCGCGGCGCAUUAGCUAGUUGGUGAGGUAAUGGCUCACCAAGGCAACGAUGCGUAGCCGACCUGAGAGGGUGAUCGGCCACACUGGGACUGAGACACGGCCCAGACUCCUACGGGAGGCAGCAGUAGGGAAUCUUCCGCAAUGGACGAAAGUCUGACGGAGCAACGCCGCGUGAGUGAUGAAGGUUUUCGGAUCGUAAAGCUCUAUUGUUAGGGAAGAACAAGUACCGUUCGAAUAGGGCGGUACCUUGACGGUACCUAACCAGAAAGCCACGGCUAACUACGUGCCAGCAGCCGCGGUAAUACGUAGGUGGCAAGCGUUGUCCGGAAUUAUUGGGCGUAAAGGGCUCGCAGGCGGUUUCUUAAGUCUGAUGUGAAAGCCCCCGGCUCAACCGGGGAGGGUCAUUGGAAACUGGGGAACUUGAGUGCAGAAGAGGAGAGUGGAAUUCCACGUGUAACGGUGAAAUGCGUAGAGAUGUGGAGGAACACCAGUGGCGAAGGCGACUCUCUGGUCUGUAACUGACGCUGAGGAGCGAAAGCGUGGGGAGCGAACAGGAU